This 500-nucleotide ribosomal RNA is filed under the name uncultured methanogenic archaeon. RNAcentral describes it as "bacterial SSU rRNA". It matches the Rfam family "Archaeal small subunit ribosomal RNA", at positions 1 to 508 of the family's 1478-position model. The record is from RNAcentral. Lineage: Archaea; Methanobacteriati; Methanobacteriota.
UCCGGUUGAUCCUGGCGGAGGUUACUGCUAUCGAGGUUCGACUAAGCCAUGCGAGUCGAAUGUAGCAAUACAUGGCGAACUGCUCAGUAACACGUGGACAACCUGCCCUUAGGUUGGGUAUAAACCCGGGAAACUGGGUAUAAUACCCGAUAGGUCUCGAUUGCUGGAAUGCAUCGAGAUUUAAAGCUCCGGCGCCUAAGGAUGGGUCUGCGGCCUAUCAGGUAGUAGUGGGUGUAGCGUACCUACUAGCCUACGACGGGUACGGGUUGUGAGAGCAAGAGCCCGGAGAUGGAUUCUGAGACACGAAUCCAGGCCCUACGGGGUGCAGCAGGCGCGAAAACUUUACAAUGCUGGCAACAGCGAUAAGGGAACCUCGAGUGCCAGGUUACAAAUCUGGCUGUCGAGAUGCCUAAAAAGCAUUUCAUAGCAAGGGCCGGGCAAGACCGGUGCCAGCCGCCGCGGUAACACCGGCGGCUCGAGUGGUAACCGUUAUUAUUGGG